This 117-nucleotide ribosomal RNA is filed under the name Clostridiaceae bacterium. RNAcentral also lists the same sequence under 1 other name. The record is from RNAcentral. Lineage: Bacteria; Bacillati; Bacillota; Clostridia; Eubacteriales; Clostridiaceae.
UCCGGCGGCUUUGGCGGCGAGGAUACACCCGUACCCAUCCCGAACACGGAAGUUAAGCUCGCGUGCGCCGAAGAUACUUGGCUGGCGACGGCCCGGGAAAAUAGGGCGCUGCCGGAC